AGUCAGGUGCCAAAACCCUGCUUUAGGAUUUAGGGUAAUUACUGCUAAUUUAUGCUAGCAGGUAUGCCUCAUUAACUCCAGACAGGAUCUAAAGGAGGUGUUUCUUUGAACUAAAGGAAGCCUAGGACUGAGGAUAUUUGAGAGGAAAGCCCUAGGAACACUAAACUUGAAGAGGAAGCUAAGACUGACAGUUUGUUGUGUUUUUAUUGUUUUUGAGUUCCUACUAAAGCUGGACACCAGAAGGGGAUUAUAGAAGAUUAAUCUAAGUGUGGAAGACCUGAUUUCAUAUGAAAGUCUUCAAGAUGUGACAUAUCCAAUCUUAGCAAACUCACUCUCAAAAAUUAUCUUCAUACAAUCAAAAGAAAAUGAAAGGGUCCUUCAGUGCUAUCCUGACUAAACUAUAUUUAAUAAAUUUCAAACAAUAUAUCAGUACAAUG
Molecule: long non-coding RNA, 437 nt
Organism: Dermochelys coriacea (leatherback sea turtle)
Lineage: Eukaryota; Metazoa; Chordata; Testudines; Dermochelyidae
Exons: 2
Source: RefSeq, a predicted model, not a curated record